Long non-coding RNA from Ziziphus jujuba (common jujube), 490 nucleotides. RefSeq lists it as uncharacterized. NCBI's taxonomy places the organism in Eukaryota, Viridiplantae, Streptophyta, Magnoliopsida, Rosales, Rhamnaceae. The record is from RefSeq and is a predicted model, not a curated record. The transcript is spliced from 2 exons.
UGGUAAAAAAAAACUGCAAUAUGUAUGCAGGUUGGUGGCUUUGAGAAGCUUAUUUGGCUGCAAACCACUAUUACCUUCUAUGGGCAAGAGCACAGUAUAUUAUGGUGUAGCAGGAAAUGGUUCGGUUCUCAACCAUGGAAAGGCUAAAGAUCUGAACCUUGUUGCUAGUGCGGCCAAAGAUGGUGGUCUAAAUGUCCUGUGACAUUCCAAACACAAACGAUGCAAAUUCCUUUACCUAGACUCAAAAUUCUGAGACUACUAUUUUCAUAAUCAGUAAAUUUUGGAUAAAUAUGUAAUUCAGUUUCUUACAGAACAGUGUAAUGUAGUUAUUCUAGGAGAAAUUGAUUGUAUAUGGUGUAAACUAAAUCCAUAUGCAAUUAGUUGCUUGUUGACAUUUUUCAUUUUUAUUUUAUUGUAGUAGAUUUAAAAAUUUUAAUAAUAUGCAUGUUCUUUUUUACUAUUAAUAGUAUGAACUAUCUUUUUUGAUUAA